This 253-nucleotide ribosomal RNA is filed under the name uncultured bacterium. RNAcentral describes it as "partial 16S ribosomal RNA". It matches the Rfam family "Bacterial small subunit ribosomal RNA", at positions 524 to 776 of the family's 1533-position model. The record is from RNAcentral.
UACAUGGGGUGCAAACGUUGCUCGGAAUUACUGGGCGUAAAGCGCACGUAGGCGGCCUUGUAAGUUAGAGGUGAAAGCCCGGGGCUCAACUCCGGAAUUGCCUUUAAGACUGCAUCGCUAGAAUUGUGGAGAGGUAAGUGGAAUUCCGAGUGUAGAGGUGAAAUUCGUAGAUAUUCGGAAGAACACCAGUGGCGAAGGCGACUUACUGGACACAUAUUGACGCUGAGGUGCGAAAGCGUGGGGAGCAAACAGG